AGCGAAGGGGUGGGGUGGGAUCUUGGUCCAGCUGGUACUGGAGCGGCGACAAUUUUGGCUAGUCUAAGAAGGGCAUUCGAGUGACCGUUGACAACGGGUGGGACAGCGUCAGAGCUGGAGGGAGAGCCAGCACUGUAUGCUUCCAGGACUUCUUGCUAGGUGCAUUAGUUUUUAUUUUUAAGAGUUGGGUAAAAGACAUUAAUUAGUUAGCAUCUCACUCAUCGGCGAUUUUCUACGGUAUGAUUUCAUCCAAAGAGGAUUUCUUAAUCGCACUGUGUGACACCGUUAGGGGACUUAGAGUGUCACUCGCCGCCUUAAAUCCUUUCGGGAACAAGCCAGGAUAUAAAUAAAUAAAGCUAGGUGUGGGUCUUCCCUUCACAAGGCGCUGGUAGGCAGACUAAAGACAGGCAACAGCUGAGUGUGCACACAGAACUAAAUAUUGAACGAAAUACGAGUGUCGGAAUAAAAUUCAUUGCCAUGUGCACGGCUUAUGAUUAUACAGAUCUUGGACAUAUCACGGACCUGAACGUCAACCCUGCAACACCGGAUAAAACAUCUAAUGUAGCUGGAAUAGACUCUGAAAGGACGUUAGGCAUUAUCUAAAUCAAGUCCCUCAUUUUACAGAUGAGUAAACUGACUCAGUGAAGUAUUUUGCUCAAGGUCGUUCAUCAAAUUAGUAGUUUAAUUAACUCAGUGUUCUAGGAAGCAGGGUAGUAGAAAAGCAUGGGAUUCGGAGUCUGAAAUCUUCCUUGGUUUCUGGUCCUUGUAGGCUGUUUUACAAGUGUAUCUUGGGCAAAUCCCUUAACGUCUUGCCAUUUAUUAAGGGCUUACUUACCACGUGGCAAACAAUCCACUUUGCAUGCUGUGUCAAUUACAUGCAGUAUGUCGUGUAGUUAUUACUGUCCCCAUUUUAUGAGGUAGUUUAGGUUUAAAGAUAUUAGAAAUUUACCCAAAGUUACGCAGUUAUAAACAUUGUAGUAAUUUCAAACUCAGGUCUUCGUGACUGCAAAGGCUGCUGUCUUAAGUAUUGUAAUACAUUAGAGCUCCGGAUUCCCUCCCACUCAAAACAGAGACUGAGACUCCAACCAAUUUCCACCAUUAUUGGGAGUCAAACGAGAGAGACUGUGGCAAUGUAUUCUAAGCUGUACAAAGGUAUAAACAUAUUCACUAGAUUUGUAGAAUGAAGUUAUUCCUUCCCUAUACUUUCCACUACAACAAUUCAGCCAAAAAGAUGGCUUUCAUACUAAGCAUAAGAAGGAACUUCACUGUAAUUAUGAUAUUCUAACCAAGAAUAUAUGCAUAUCUAGGCAAUAACCAAAGUGAAUAGAAUAAAAUUUAAUUCCUGAUAGAUUAAAUAGGCAAUAGCAAGGAAUGCUAACGCUCCUCAUAGCGUUCUUGUUGGAAGAAUCAUCUAGGAGGCAUUGGGAUUUCUGGUGCUUUUUAAGCAAUGAGAGAUAUCAGUCCACUGAAUGAGGAAGAGAAUAACGUUUAGUUUCGGACUAAAAGUUCAUCUGGACUACGGAAAACACGUUUGCCUCAAUCAGUGAAGAAGGUAUGCUGAGAGCUGAAAGAAAAGGAAAGCAGCAACAGUGAGAGCUCAGAAAUUCCCAGACUGUUUUGAUGAUAAGGUCCAAGAACUUGCCAUGUGAUCCAUCACUACUAGACUCCCACAACUGCAUUAGAUUUGUUCAGGAUUUUCAUAUAAUUUUCAUAACUGGCUAAGUUCUGAAAUAACCCAUCUUGAAGACAUAAACAAUGUGCAUUGAUGGCUAGCCAGACUCUGUCCUGCCACAGUUCUCCUCCUACUCUUCAUUUCUUACCCCAAGGAGUAGUAAACAUGAAUCCUGACCCACCAAUGCAGUCCCAGAACUGAGAAAAGAUUCACUGCAGCUAAACACAUUGGAAAUGGAUGGGGAGAAGGCCUGAUGAAAAUUACUGAGGAAGCCUCUUAGCCUAUGUGCUCUGAGAGUAGUGACACCUAGCAGUCGUUCAAAAGAUGAUCAAGAGGAGCAUGAAAAAAUCCCCUGAAUCCAUUGGCUUUCUUCCCUAUACUGACAACAGUUUACUUGUGUAAGAGAUGCAUGCCUCGACUCCGGACCCCUUCUUUCAUCUGCAAAAUCAGCAGCACCCUCACAUCAUCUCCUGUAACAAACUCUCUCUGUCUCCUCCAUAUAAGGUCACUGAUGGUUACAUUUAGGGUCCAUGAUAUAAGGCCCUCUCCAGGGUGCCUGAGUUUGUUGUUUCAUCACAGAAUUACACGGAAGAGACUGGAAAGAUAACUCUUCAAAUGUCAAAUCAUUCCCCUAUAAAAAAUUUUGCCACAGCUGUUGAAAUAUGGCCUUAGGGUUUAUGACAGAAUUUGAACCAGCCCCAUGGAAAAUGCAUCUUGACUCUGCUUUUAUUCCUUUCCCUGCUGAGCUCCUAAUAGAAGAUGGAUGUCUAUUGCUUUUCUCUUGAUAUUCAUGGCACUGCUCCUCUCCAUCCAUAGGAUUAUCUUAUUCAAGUUGGUGUGUAUCUGCAAAGGCGAUGGAAAGGAGUUCUUACAUAUGCAUAUUCUGAAGAAGGAUGUUACCCUUACUGAAAAACUUAUUCCAAGAUAUGUUUAAUCAAUCAUGAGAAAAAUAAAGAGACAUCCUUAUGAAUGGAGAAUAAAGUCCUCAGGGUUUUUUUCUAAUUCCCCAUGUGAAUGAAGAGCUGUGUUAUUCUAAAUAUAGUGUUUGUCAUAAGGCAAUUGUGUUGGUUUGAGUCCUUAGUCGCUGUGACACUGAUAGAAUUCCUAUCUCCAAUUGGAAGGUAAGUUGACCUUGCCUCACUUUUGGGCAUUUACAAAGUAAAAGUGUCUUCAUAUUCCAGGUUACAAUCCUCAUAGAGAUGCAGGAAGAGUCCAAAACUACCAAGGCAGACAGAAAUGCACCAUUGAGCUCUGCUGUUGAAAGCAUCUGAUGGUGGCCCAUUCUGAUGAGACAUUGGACUUCCCUAGUAGGAAAGUUUGGUUUGGGGACUCCUGUCUUUCUGGCUCAGAUUUUCUUAGAGCUGCACUGCAGUCUGAGACUCUACCUGCCCCACUCUCUUUCUUUCCCUUUCUUGUCAACAACAUCAGUUCUGCAUUGCAGUCUGAAGGAUUUCUCUGCCUGAUCCUGCUUUCUCCUCUUUAUUCUUUGCAGUUGUUUCUAACUGCAGAAUCUCUUGAAAGUCUACUCCCAUCUGGCCGGGCGUGGUGGCUCAUGCCUGUAA
This 3234-nucleotide long non-coding RNA is filed under the name Homo sapiens (human). Its description in RNAcentral is "HSALNT0375888". Lineage: Eukaryota; Metazoa; Chordata; Mammalia; Primates; Hominidae. The record is from RNAcentral.